This 3016-nucleotide small RNA is filed under the name Pongo abelii (Sumatran orangutan). RNAcentral's name for it is "processed transcript". Lineage: Eukaryota; Metazoa; Chordata; Mammalia; Primates; Hominidae. The record is from RNAcentral.
CUCGCGGCCCGGGAGCUCAGCAGAGCUACCAGCUCCCCUGUUGGUUUCGCUGGUCGGAUUGUCCUCCUGGCCCCGCCAAACAGGCGGGGGGAGCGGCCCCGACUGUGGGGCCAUGGCAGUAGUCUCCUCGUUCUCCGCCGCCGCUAGCCUAGCUGAGUCGCCGGCUUCUGAGCUAGGGGCUCCCACCGCCUCCGCAGGCUAAGGAGCCGCUGCCACCAACGAGCUGUGAGGGUUACUAUGCUCCGUCUUUGCCGCCGUCUCCUCCUCUUGCCCGCGCAGGCACCCCUCUGGCUGCUCAGUCCUGCCUCAGUGUCAAACCAGAAGAGAAGUAAAAUUCAACAAAAAUUUAUGUGUGGAGUUCCUUCUUAAAAGAAGAAAAAAGUGAUUAUUUAGACUAUGGAUCGGAGCAAACGGAAUUCAAUUGCAGGAUUUCCUCCACGUGUGGAGCGUCUUGAAGAGUUUGAAGGAGGUGGUGGAGGAGACGGAAAUGUGAGCCAGGUGGGAAGAGUCUGGCCAUCUUCGUAUCGAGCCCUUAUAAGUGCCUUUUCCAGACUGACACGUUUGGAUGAUUUCACCUGUGAAAAAAUAGGAUCUGGCUUCUUUUCUGAAGUGUUCAAGGUACGACACCGAGCUUCUGGUCAGGUGAUGGCUCUUAAGAUGAACACGUUGAGCAGUAACCGGGCAAACAUGCUGAAAGAAGUACAGCUCAUGAAUAGACUCUCCCAUCCCAACAUCCUUAGUAUAUCAACUCCGGGAACCUGGAACAGUUGCUAGACAGUAACCUGCAUUUGCCUUGGACUGUGAGGGUAAAACUGGCCUAUGACAUAGCAGUGGGCCUCAGCUACCUUCACUUCAAAGGCAUUUUUCAUCGGGACCUCACAUCUAAGAACUGCCUGAUAAAGAGGGAUGAGAAUGGUUACUCUGCAGUGGUAGCUGACUUUGGCCUGGCUGAGAAGAUCCCCGAUGUCAGCCUGGGGAGUGAGAAGCUGGCCGUGGUGGGUUCCCCAUUCUGGAUGGCACCUGAGGUUCUCCGAGAUGAGCCCUAUAAUGAAAAGGCAGAUGUGUUCUCUUAUGGUAUCAUCCUCUGCGAGAUCAUCGCUCGCAUCCAGGCCGAUCCGGACUAUCUUCCCCGCACAGAGAAUUUCGGGCUAGACUAUGAUGCUUUCCAGCACAUGGUGGGAGACUGUCCCCCAGACUUUCUGCAGCUUACCUUCAACUGCUGUAAUAUGGACCCCAAACUGCGCCCAUCUUUUGUGGAGAUUGGGAAGACCCUGGAGGAAAUUCUGAGCCGCCUACAGGAAGAAGAGCAGGAGAGGGAUAGGAAGCUGCAGCCCACAGCCAGGGGACUCUUGGAGAAAGCACCUGGGGUGAAGCGACUAAGCUCACUGGAUGACAAGAUCCCCCACAAGUCACCAUGCCCAAGACGUACUAUCUGGCUGUCUCGAAGCCAGUCAGAUAUCUUUUCCCGUAAGCCCCCACGUACAGUGAGUGUCUUGGACCCAUACUACCGGCCACGAGAUGGUGCUGCCCGCACCCCCAAAGUCAACCCUUUUAGUGCUCGCCAGGACCUCAAGGGGGGCAAGAUCAAGUUUUUUGACCUGCCCAGCAAGUCUGUCAUCUCUCUGGUAUUUGACCUGGAUGCACCGGGGCCCGGAACUAUGCCCCUGGCUGACUGGCAGGAGCCCCUGGCCCCACCUAUUCGCCGGUGGCGUUCCUUGCCUAGUUCGCCUGAGUUCUUGCAUCAAGAGGCUUGUCCAUUUGUGGGCCGGGAAGAAUCGCUAUCUGAUGGGCCCCCACCACGCCUAAGUAGUCUCAAGUACAGAGUUAAAGAGAUCCCACCAUUCCGGGCAUCUGCCCUACCAGCUGCUCAAGCCCAUGAGGCUAUGGACUGCUCCAGUCUCCAGGAAGAAAAUGGUUUUGGGUCCAGGCCCCAGGGGACCAGUCCAUGCCCUGCGGGUGCUUCUGAGGAGAUGGAGGUAGAAGAAAGGCCAGCAGGCUCAACUCCAGCCACUUUCUCCACCUCAGGCAUAGGCCUGUAAACCCAGGGAAAGCAGGAUGGGUGAGGGGGGUUACCCUGCCUCACCUUGGGGAUGGAACUUCAGCUGAAACCAUAUGGCCCCCUAGGUGCACAGCCUUGAUUCUUCCCUGGAGCCUACAGAGCAGGCAGGCUAGGCCAAGCUAGGCUCAACUUCUGGGCUCCCAGUGCCCAUUGGCUGUGUAUGACAGGGUAGGCAGCAGUGAGAGGCCUUCCUAGUUAGGGCCAACAGCUGAUACCAAGCCUCUGAAAUCCGGCAAGGAGGUCUGCCUCCCACCAGACCCCCUCCAGUGUACUUCCCCAGAUAGGACCAGAGGAUGUCUAGUUCUAGGCUGAGCUGGCAGGCAGCUAUUACCCCGGUUCUUUCCCCACCCCAGGUCUGUCUCUUGCCCUUUCUUGGGGCAUAUAAGCUACUGAGUGGAACACGGAGCUGACCAAGAAGCCAUAACGGUCAUGGCUGUUUCCCAGACCUGAAUACUGGGGUGCUUCUUGCCAGUAUUCUAAGACACUUGAGUAAUUGCUGUUUGCACUUACUGCAUGGUCAGACCACGUCACUACAUUUCUAUGCAAGGGGACAGCAAGGCAGCGUGGUGGUCAUGGCUCUUAGCUAACCUAUUCAAAGACCUUUUCCCGUUGAUUAAUCUAUUUUCAUAUUUAUAGAGGAGUCUUAAUGUUUUGCCCCAUAAGACUUUCAACCUUGUGGUUGGGAGUGGGGCUGGUUUUGUAGGCCCUAGGGCCUGCUUCUAUGUAUUUGUCAACAUGUGAUACAUUCAAUUGGUUAAAUGGUUUAUACAGGGACUGAUUUUCUUCCCUUCCUGCCAUGGCUGGAGCUUUGGGAACAGUCUGUCCUUACAGAGCUGCAAUAAGAAAUAACCAAAGAUGAAGCGGUCAAAUAUUUUCAUAACUUGCUUCUGUUGAUUUUUUUUGUAAAACUUUCCCAAGACAUUUUCAGACUUCAAAAAUAAAGUCGGUAUUACAGGU